UUUAAAUUCCAGAUUCGGAUCGCGUAGGUGGUAAUUAAUUUAGUUAUGAUUAUUUUUUUUAGAAGUACCACACUCUGUUCAAGAUGAAUCGAAUUUGACGGAAGUGGAUGAUAAAGAUUGGAGGUUCAAAUUUGAAAAUCUGUUAUGGGUUUAUGGUUGUUUCUUGGAACUUGUUUGACCGAGUAUGAAGACGUAAGUUAGAGUUUUAGCAGUGUAUUUGAAUAUUUUCUUCAAUCUAACCAUUAUUAGAUUUCGUUAGUUUUAAUGCCUAUAAAUACCUUUCAUUAAAUCAUUUCGCUCAUCACAUAAGUUUUCUAAACACUUUCCACAAGCUCCCAAAAUUACCGAAGCUCACACACUCUUUAUUCUUAAAUAAUUAUGUUUUCUUUAUAGCACUCUCGCUAUCCUGGCUAUUAUAAUCUGCAUACAAUCAUUAUCCAGACUACCUCUCACAAAUACACACACUACUAUUAUUUACUCAUAUCAUCCACAAGCCACAGUUCCACCAUACAUCACUAUAGUUUCUACAAAUUACCAUCAUCUUAUUUUCCAUUUCAAGAUCAUCUCAUGUUAUAGGUGUGUCUUACACUAGGCUUGGGCUUAAGAAUUCUUCAUAGUCACGAAUAGGAUUCUCCUUUGAAGCUACGGUAUUUCAUAAGACAAUUAUUAUUUCUCAAGGAUCACUCUCAUUGCAAUCAAGGCUAGGACUCCACAUUCGAAAUUAAGGUUAUAAAACUUAGAAAGCCGGUGGCAAGUGAGACCUUGGAGGCUUGUGUGUGUACUCGCUGAGGACCAUAUAAUUGAGGGUGGUCUAGGGCACGCUCCAUUUAUUUUAUUUAGAGUUAUUAGAUUAAUGUCGCAGUUAUUUUUAUUUAUUAAUUAUUAUGUCUUUUAAGUCCAAACU
Cannabis sativa is the source of this 904-nucleotide long non-coding RNA. RefSeq lists it as uncharacterized. NCBI's taxonomy places the organism in Eukaryota, Viridiplantae, Streptophyta, Magnoliopsida, Rosales, Cannabaceae. The record is from RefSeq and is a predicted model, not a curated record. The transcript has 3 exons.